This 116-nucleotide ribosomal RNA is filed under the name uncultured bacterium. RNAcentral describes it as "partial 16S ribosomal RNA". It matches the Rfam family "Bacterial small subunit ribosomal RNA", at positions 1367 to 1482 of the family's 1533-position model. The record is from RNAcentral.
UACGUUCCCGGGUCUUGUACACACCGCCCGUCACACCAUGGGAGCGGGUUUUACCAGAAGUAGGUAGCUUAACCGUAAGGAGGGCGCUUACCACGGUAGGAUUCGUGGCUGGGGUG